GGGGAAUAUUGCACAAUGGGGGAAACCCUGAUGCAGCGACGCCGCGUGGAGGAAGAAGGUCUUCGGAUUGUAAACUCCUGUUGUUGGGGAAGAUAAUGACGGUACCCAACAAGGAAGUGACGGCUAACUACGUGCCAGCAGCCGCGGUAAAACGUAGGUCACAAGCGUUGUCCGGAAUUACUGGGUGUAAAGGGAGCGCAGGCGGGAAGACAAGUUGGAAGUGAAAUCUAUGGGCUCAACCCAUAAACUGCUUUCAAAACUGUUUUUCUUGAGUAGUGCAGAGGUAGGCGGAAUUCCCGGUGUAGCGGUGGAAUGCGUAGAUAUCGGGAGGAACACCAGUGGCGAAGGCGGCCUACUGGGCACCAACUGACGCUGAGGCUCGAAAGUGUGGGUAGCAAACAGGAUUAGAUACCCUGGUAGUCCACACCGUAAACGAUGAUUACUAGGUGUUGGAGGAUUGACCCCUUCAGUGCCGCAGUUAACACAAUAAGUAAUCCACCUGGGGAGUACGACCGCAAGGUUGAAACUCAAAGGAAUUGACGGGGGCCCGCACAAGCAGUGGAGUAUGUGGUUUAAUUCGACGCAACGCGAAGAACCUUACCAAGUCUUGACAUCCCUUGACAGGCAUAGAAAUAUGUUUUCUAUUCGGAGCAAGGAGACAGGUGGUGCAUGGUUGUCGUCAGCUCGUGUCGUGAGAUGUUGGGUUAAGUCCCGCAACGAGCGCAACCCUUAUGGUCAGUUACUACGUAAGAGGACUCUGGCCAGACUGCCGUUGACAAAACGGAGGAAGGUGGGGAUGACGUCAAAUCAUCAUGCCCUUUAUGACUUGGGCUACACACGUACUACAAUGGCGUUAAACAAAGAGAAGCAAGACCGCGAGGUGGAGCAAAACUCAGAAACAACGUCCCAGUUCGGACUGCAGGCUGCAACUCGCCUGCACGAAGUCGGAAUUGCUAGUAAUCGUGGAUCAGCAUGCCACGGUGAAUACGUUCCCG
Molecule: ribosomal RNA, 995 nt
Filed under: uncultured bacterium
Lineage: Bacteria
Description: bacterial SSU rRNA
Rfam family: Bacterial small subunit ribosomal RNA
Source: RNAcentral